GACAUAUAGGUUGUAGGGACUGAAAGGGACCGACCCUUCGGGGAGCCUAUACAGGUUGUUGCAUGGCUGUCGUCAGCUCGUGUCGUGAGAUGUUCGGUUAAGUCCGCUAACGAGCGCAACCCUCGUCGUAUGUUAUAUGUGUCAUACGAGACUGCCGGUAAAAAGCCGGAGGAAGGUGAGGAUGAUGUCAAGUCAGCAUGACCUUUAUAUCCAGGGCUACACACACGCUACAAUGGUCUGUACAAUGGGUAGCCAAGCCGCGAGGCGGAGCCAAUCCUGAAAGCAGGCCUCAGUUCAGAUUGCAGUCUGCAACUCGACUGCAUGAAGCCGGAGUUGCUAGUAACCGCAGGUCAGCAAUACUGCGGUGAAUACGUUCCCGGGUCUU
Molecule: ribosomal RNA, 385 nt
Filed under: uncultured Anaerolineaceae bacterium
Lineage: Bacteria; Bacillati; Chloroflexota; Anaerolineae; Anaerolineales; Anaerolineaceae
Description: bacterial SSU rRNA
Rfam family: Bacterial small subunit ribosomal RNA
Source: RNAcentral